RNAcentral lists this transfer RNA (84 nucleotides) under Candidatus Erwinia haradaeae. RNAcentral's name for it is "transfer RNA Leucine". It matches the Rfam family "tRNA". Rfam says of the family: Transfer RNA (tRNA) molecules are approximately 80 nucleotides in length. Their secondary structure includes four short double-helical elements and three loops (D, anti-codon, and T loops). Lineage: Bacteria; Pseudomonadati; Pseudomonadota; Gammaproteobacteria; Enterobacterales; Erwiniaceae. The record is from RNAcentral.
GCGGAAGUGGCGAAAUGGUAAACGCACCAGAUUUAGGUUCUGGCGCCGAAAGGUUUGCGAGUUCAAGUCUCGCCUUCCGCACCA